Molecule: ribosomal RNA, 254 nt
Filed under: uncultured bacterium
Lineage: Bacteria
Description: partial 16S ribosomal RNA
Rfam family: Bacterial small subunit ribosomal RNA
Source: RNAcentral
UACGUAGGGUGCUAACGUUGUUCGGAAUCACUGGGCAUAAAGAGCGCGUAGGCGGUCUGAUAAGUCAGGUGUGAAAUCCCCCGGCUCAACCGGGGAACUGCACCUGAUACUGUUGGGCUUGAGUGCAAGAGGGGAGAGCGGAAUUCCUGGUGGAGCGGUGAAAUGCGUAGAUAUCAGGAGGAACGCCGGCGGCGAAAGCGGCUCUCUGGCCUGUCUACUGACGCUGAGGCGCGAAAGCUAGGGGAGCAAACGGG